CCCUUAGAUGUUCUGGGCCGCACGCGCGCUACACUGAUGCAUUCAACAAGCCUAGCCUUGACCGAGAGGCCCGGGUAAUCUUUGAAACUGCAUCGUGAUGGGGCUAGAUUAUUGCAAUUAUUAAUCUUCAACGAGGAAUGCCUAGUAAGCGUGAUUCAUCAAAUCGCGUUGAUUACGUCCCUGCCCUUUGUACACACCGCCCGUCGCUCCUACCGAUUGAAUGUGUUGGUGAGGAGCUCGGAUUGGCAGCAGUUGGUGGUUCGCCACCGGCUAUUGCUGAGAAGUCCUCCAAACCGCCCCAUUUAGAGGAAGGAGAAGUCGUANCA
Molecule: ribosomal RNA, 326 nt
Filed under: uncultured eukaryote
Lineage: Eukaryota
Description: partial 18S ribosomal RNA
Rfam family: Eukaryotic small subunit ribosomal RNA
Source: RNAcentral